CGAUGCGGCGCAGUAGUAGUGCGACUGCCUGCGACGCAGAUGGUUCUGGGUUCGAUUCCCAGUGGAUCAA
Phthorimaea operculella (potato tuberworm) is the source of this 70-nucleotide non-coding RNA. NCBI's taxonomy places the organism in Eukaryota, Metazoa, Arthropoda, Insecta, Lepidoptera, Gelechiidae. The record is from the annotation of a GenBank genome assembly.